Non-coding RNA from Microcebus murinus (gray mouse lemur), 1307 nucleotides. The record is from RefSeq and is a predicted model, not a curated record. Lineage: Eukaryota; Metazoa; Chordata; Mammalia; Primates; Cheirogaleidae.
UGGCUUGUCCGCUGGUAGCCACAGACAUGUUUAUUUGUGGUUUGCUGAGGGGCCUUUGCAGACGCUGUGUUUUCCCAGGCCCCCGUGGGCUCCCCAUGGCUGUGGCAUCCGGGGACACGUGGGGGGUGCCGUGAGAUGCCUGUGCCACCUGGCCGAUUGAUUCGAGAGGAAGGCUAAGGGCAGCACCCUGAGCCAGGAUCCUUGGGCGCCUGUGGACAUGAUAAACGUUGAAACGCUCAUAAACCUUUGAGAUGGCAAGUCCUGGCGGAGCAUCUACCCAUCAUCCAACAUACACUUCCGAGCGUCAGACAGCACAGGGCGUGCUUACACAGACCUGGAUGCGAUCGCCUUCUACACACCCGGCCCACGCGGCGCAGCGCCUUCUCCUGGGCUGCAAACCUGCGCGGCAUGUUGCUGUAUGAACGCCGUAGGCAAGUGCAACACAGCGGUAAGCGUUGGUGCAUCUAAACAUAUCUAAACGCAGAAAAGGUGCAGUAAAAAUACGGCAUUAGAGACUUAUGUGACCAUUGUCAUGUAUGUAGUCUGUUGUUGGCUGAAACGUUGUUACGCAGUGCGUGACAGUAUCUUAAAGUUUAACCACAGCAACAUAGUAGCGGUACAGUUUGCCUCAUUUUGCAGCUGCGAAAACUGAUGCUCACAGAGGUCCGAGUCAUCUGCCCAUCGCGAGGGCAGGGCCGGGAUUGGCACCAAGUCAACUUGGGGAAGUUAUUGUUUUGAACUUGACCCUCUUAGGCAGUGGGGCAUCACCGAAGGGCCCAGCAGGAGAGCGAGAGGCUAAAGCAGUGUUUCAGGAGGACUGAUCUGACAGCUGGGGGCAGGGGCGGCCUUGCAAAAACCACAGGAAAACCCCUAAUCCUGCACCUUCCCCAGCAACAGUUGAAGAUCCAUCCUGUGAGUUCUCUCCAGCUGACAGGUGCCUGCAGGAGUUCUGCGCUGCCGAAUGGAUGGACAAGAGAUGUGAAUCUCUCGCCUUCAAAACUGGUUUUUGAAAAUCUGCUUUUACAAAGUUCCUGAGUAAACAGCAGGAGAACCAGCUACAGCCUGGACCAUUUCUCGAGGACAGAGUCCCAUCUCCUGUGACGAUCCCUUCCCCAAAGUAAGGCAGGACACCGAGUCUUGAACUUUGACAUCCUUGCAGUUUUGUUAUCUACCUGCUGCCGCUUUUGUUAUCAACUAAGAGCCAUCAUUAGUUUUCUCUCUUCUUUCCCCUUAAAAUCAGCGAGCCGCUGGCCUGGCUGCCGUCACCCCCUUCUCUUUCUUUGGGAUGCCACGUGUCUCCCUGUUCU